RNAcentral lists this ribosomal RNA (253 nucleotides) under uncultured bacterium. RNAcentral's name for it is "partial 16S ribosomal RNA". It matches the Rfam family "Bacterial small subunit ribosomal RNA", at positions 524 to 776 of the family's 1533-position model. The record is from RNAcentral.
UACGUAGGGUGCAAGCGUUAAUCGGAAUUACUGGGCGUAAAGCGUGCGCAGGCGGUUGUGCAAGACAGAUGUGAAAUCCCCGGGCUCAACCUGGGAACUGCAUUUGUGACUGCACGACUGGAGUGCGGCAGAGGGGGAUGGAAUUCCGCGUGUAGCAGUGAAAUGCGUAGAUAUGCGGAGGAACACCGAUGGCGAAGGCAAUCCCCUGGGCCUGCACUGACGCUCAUGCACGAAAGCGUGGGGAGCAAACAGG